AUUGAACGCUGGCGGCAGGCUUAACACAUGCAAGUCGAGCGGGGAAAGGUAGCUUGCUACCUGACCUCGCGGCGGACGGGUGAGUAAUGCUUAGGAAUCUCCCUACUAGUGGGGGACAACAUCUCGAAAGGGAUGCUAAUACCGCAUACGUCCUACGGGAGAAAGCAGGGGACCUUCGGGCCUUGCGCUAAUAGAUGAGCCUAAGGCGGAUUAGCCAGCUGGUGGGGUAAAGGCCUACCAAGGCGAGGAUCUGUAGCGGGCCUGAGAGGAUGAUUCGCCAGACUGGGACGGAGACACGGCCCAGAGGCCUUCGGGAGGCAGCAGGGGGGAAUAUUGGACAAUGGGGGGAACACUGAGCCAGACAUGCGGAGUGUGUGAAGAAGGCCUUUUGGUUGUAAAGCACGGUAAGCGAGGAGGAGGCUACCGAGAUUAAUACUCUUGGAUAGUGGACGUUACUCGCAGAAUAAGCACCGGCUAACUCUGUG
Molecule: ribosomal RNA, 485 nt
Filed under: uncultured bacterium
Lineage: Bacteria
Description: partial 16S ribosomal RNA
Rfam family: Bacterial small subunit ribosomal RNA
Source: RNAcentral